CGUGCAGCCGGAAAUGCAAGUCAGAUGUGAAAUCCAUGGGCUUAACCCAUGAACUGCAUUUGAAACUGUAUUUCUUGAGUACUGGAGAGGCAAUCGGAAUUCCUAGUGUAGCGGUGAAAUGCGUAGAUAUUAGGAGGAACACCAGUGGCGAAGGCGGAUUGCUGGACAGUAACUGACGGUGAGGCGCGAAAGUGUGGGAGCAAACA
Molecule: ribosomal RNA, 206 nt
Filed under: uncultured bacterium
Lineage: Bacteria
Description: partial 16S ribosomal RNA
Rfam family: Bacterial small subunit ribosomal RNA
Source: RNAcentral